Molecule: transfer RNA, 72 nt
Filed under: Methanosarcinales archaeon
Lineage: Archaea; Methanobacteriati; Methanobacteriota; Methanomicrobia; Methanosarcinales
Description: tRNA-Arg
Rfam family: tRNA
About the family: Transfer RNA (tRNA) molecules are approximately 80 nucleotides in length. Their secondary structure includes four short double-helical elements and three loops (D, anti-codon, and T loops). Further hydrogen bonds mediate the characteristic L-shaped molecular structure. tRNAs have two regions of fundamental functional importance: the anti-codon, which is responsible for specific mRNA codon recognition, and the 3' end, to which the tRNAs corresponding amino acid is attached (by aminoacyl-tRNA synthetases). tRNAs cope with the degeneracy of the genetic code in two manners: having more than one tRNA (with a specific anti-codon) for a particular amino acid; and 'wobble' base-pairing, i.e. permitting non-standard base-pairing at the 3rd anti-codon position.
Source: RNAcentral
GUCCUGGUAGGGUAGUGGAUAUCCUUGGGGCUUGCGGAGCCUUAGACUCGAGUUCGAAUCUUGGCCAGGACG